Non-coding RNA from Equus caballus (horse), 2228 nucleotides. NCBI's taxonomy places the organism in Eukaryota, Metazoa, Chordata, Mammalia, Perissodactyla, Equidae. The record is from RefSeq and is a predicted model, not a curated record.
AGCCUCCUUCCCGUCUGCAGUUUAUUAAAAGUAACCAGCCCGAAAUAAUCCACAUGCCAAAGAGACAUAUCUUGGGGUGGCCAAUUCCAGGCCCCCACAGGGGACAAGGGCCACUGGGGCAGGACUUGUGAGGAAACAAGCAGAGCUGUGAGGUCAAGAUGUCAAGUCACAGCUUCACCCUCAUGAAGGUGCCAGUCCAGGGCCCCCCACCUCCUCCCACACCACUGCCCACGUGACCACACCCUCACCCGGCCAGGCUUCUGAAAAUGGAAAAGUGUGGGUGGAAAGCCAGCCGAGGGGUCAGCCACCUCUAUACUUGGGCUUGAGUGUGUGAGAACCCCCAACAUGCCUCCCUCCAGCCCUCUGCCCACCCAGGGGAGAGGCGCCUGAGAUGGAGGCUGGCACUGGAGGCCACCCUGCAGUCUUGCUCCUCCAGCUCUGUCCUCGUCCAAGCCACAUCUCCUGAUUUAUGGUCUACUUUUUGUCCUCUUGACCACUGGCCAGGCCCUGGGGGUCCAGGAGGGAGUCAGGCGGGAAAGUCACAUUCCAGUAGGGGAGGAUAGUCAAGCAACUCAACAGGCUAUUCUAGCUCGUCCUGGUAACUAGGAAAGAGUCAAAUAAGGGAUAGGGAGACAUGGGAGGGGAGAGGGCUGCAACUGUCGGUAGGGGGCAGGGGGCUACAAACAGCCCCUCAGAGGUGACAUUUGAGUAGAAACAUCAGAAUGCAAAGGACUCAACUAUGAUGAGUCCUAGGGGGAGAGCAUUCCAGGCAGAGGAACCAGCAAACAGAACAGCAAACAGGCAUGUGGCAGAGAGGCACGGAGGGGCUGGGCCUGCGUCCUGAUGUGGCAGGAAUCACUGGAACGUUUAAAGCACAGUUAUAUUUUUAAAGUCACUUGCGGCUGUGGGGAAAAUGACUUGUGUGGAGGCAGGAGUGGAAGCCUGGUUAGGCUGGAGGCGGUGGCUUUGGGUUAGGUGAGAACAACGAGGCUGCUUGGCCUGGGCUGGGUGCAGAUGGGGUGGCAAGGAGCCACUGGACUGGGGAGCCUCGCUGCCAACUGGAGGAGGAACACAGCAAAGAGGGCCAGGGGAUGCCUUGCUGCCUGUCUGAGGGAUGUCAAGAAUGCUGGGGACCUCAAACGAGGGUCAGGACUGGGGAGGUGACACCCAGUUUCUGAACUUUAGCUCCAGCCUGACUUUUAUGCAUCCAACAAGGAGUCAUCAGGGAUGUCGGUGUGCCCGGGCAGCUCAGGAAAGGCCCUGCCAUGGGGUCUCCAUACCCCGUAAGGGAGACAGACAACAUGCAAGGAUUGCGUGGUGGGCGGCAGUGAGGGCCCCAGAGAAGGAAGCAGCGGGGCAGGAGGGCUGCUGUUUCAACAGGAUGGUCCUGGGAACGUGGAGUGAGCACCCUCCACUGGUCUCUCUGCUUGAUCACAACUGUAAACCCUGGACAGACUCUCAGAGAACUGUGAAAACCUGGACAUGAAGGCAGCUUGAAACCUGGAAGUGCAACCAGAGUGGACACAGGGCUCCAGAGGAUCCUUCUGGUCCAAGGAGCAGAAAUGAAGCCCUUACAGGUGGGGCGCAGGGGGCGGGGGAAUCCCCUGAUUUGUUCCCAUCGUCCCCACCCCAGCUCCUGGGCAAUAUUGUGGAGAUGGCAUGGUGAUGGCAGCGUCAGCUGGGCAGGCAGCUGAAACCCUGAGAGGGGAGCUACCCUCUAACCAGGGGAGCUGAGGCCACAAGAGUGUUUGGCAACUACCCGCUGCUUUCUCUCUGCCCUCCUGAAGCUGAGGCCUGGAUGCAGCUGCAGGAGCUGUGCAGCAGGAUGCGGAAACGAAGGCCCUGGGUUUGUGGCCAGAGGUCUUGGAAAGCAGGCCCCAGGGAUCCAGUAAAGUUACAGAUGAAUUCCUGGGUUCCCUGCCAAGCUGCCCAAGUGGGAUCUGACCCUAGAUGCACACCACAGGCCUCAGGCUGACCACUGGGUGGUGCAGACAGACCCAGGACAGAUCUGACUGGUAGUCAAACACGUUAUACAUUGAGCUGGAAUCACAGCCCACAGAAGACAGGUGACCUGAUUGCCUGGCAAAACAGCACAAUCAACAUUCUCCUUAGGAGUUAAAUAGGAUCCAGACUCUCAACAUAAUUCAAAAUAUCUAGGACACUUUUGCGUGUGGCUGUCCAGUUUUCCCAAUAAAAUUUAUUAAAAGGACUGUUCUUUCCCCAUUGAA